UUUGUUUAGAAUCGAUUGCGCUGCCCCUAUUUUUACUGAGAUCCGUCGAAGUAUUGUUGGUAAGAUUGAAGUUAUGAAAUUGUAGUCGUUUUCAAAACAAUUUAAGUAUGGGUUGUGAUGUUUUCAAGGUGUUCAAACGUUACGGAUGGGUUAAUUGACUAAUUUGAUAAAUUAUUCUUGAAGGUGUGAAAGGUAACCUUGGAUCACUUAAAUUCACAACCAAUUUGUGAAUUUUGAUUUCGGUUUGCCCUUAUUUGGAUUGUUUCGUGGACGAUAGUUGAUUAAGGGAGCUUCCCUAACUUUGAGGCAAAGGUAAUAAAGGCAGCAAACCGGCGAGGGGCAGGAAGGAAGCGUGACCGCCACAGGGGACACUUUAAAAUUUUGCUUCCGCUUAGUGAUUUAUAGUAUUAUUUGUAUUCGAACGUGAGACUGUUUAGAAAAUUUUGAAGUUUUAAAGUAUUCAAAGAUUUGAAACUUUUUAGUUUUAAA
Long non-coding RNA from Cucumis sativus (cucumber), 489 nucleotides. RefSeq lists it as uncharacterized. NCBI's taxonomy places the organism in Eukaryota, Viridiplantae, Streptophyta, Magnoliopsida, Cucurbitales, Cucurbitaceae. The record is from RefSeq and is a predicted model, not a curated record. The transcript has 2 exons.